RNAcentral lists this ribosomal RNA (1017 nucleotides) under uncultured Microgenomates group bacterium. RNAcentral's name for it is "bacterial SSU rRNA". It matches the Rfam family "Bacterial small subunit ribosomal RNA", at positions 91 to 1154 of the family's 1533-position model. The record is from RNAcentral.
GUCACCGGCAGACGAGGUAGUAACACGUAGGAACGAACCAUGAAGUCAGGGACAACCCAUCGAAAGAUGGGCUAAUACUUGAUAGUCUCGCGAGAGUAAAGAUUUAUCGCUUCGUGAUCGGCCUGCGGAAUAUCAGCUAGUUGGUAGGGUAAUGGCCUACCAAGGCUAUGACGUUUAGGAGAGGUGAGAGCCUGGCCUCCACCGAUGGGACUGCGACACGGCCCAUACACCUACGGGUGGCUGCAGUCGAGAAUCUUCCACAAUGGACGAAAGUCUGAUGGAGCGACGCCGCGUGACUGAUGAAGCAUUUCGGUGUGUAAAGGUCUUUUAUGAGGGAUGACAUAGCGACAGUACCUCAUGAAUAAGGGGCUGCUAAUCACGUGCCAGCAGCAGCGGUAAUACGUGAGCCCCGAGCGUUAUCCGGAAUUACUGGGCGUAAAGUGUGCGUAGGCGGUUAUGUUAGUCUUCUGUUAAAUCCACCGGCUCAACCGGUGAACCCCAGAGGAAACGGCAUGACUCGAGUGUGUAAGAGGUUUGCGGAACUUAUGGUGUAGGGGUGAAAUCCGUUGGUAUCAUAGGGAACACCAAAUGCGAAGGCAGCAAACUGGUACAUUACUGACGCUGAGGCACGAAAGCGUGGGUAGCGAAUGGGAUUAGAUACCCCAGUAGUCCACGCCCUAAACGAUGAUCUCUCGCCUUUCGGAGUAUCGACCCUCUGAGAGGCUAAGCUAACGCGCUAAGAGAUCCGCCUGGGUAGUACGAUCGCAAGAUUAAAACUCAAAGGAAUAGACGGGGACUUGCACAAGCGGUGGAUUAUGUGGUUUAAUUCGAUGGUACACGAAAAACCUUACCAGGGUUAGAUAUUCUAUGGAAAGACUAAGGAAACUUAGUAACUCCGCAAGGACCGUAGAACAGGUGAUGCAUGGCCGUCGUCAGUUCGUGGUUUGAACUGUUCCCUUAAGUGGGGUAACGAACGCAACCCCUGUCGUCUGUUACAAGUGUCAGGCGAGACUGCCC